Molecule: ribosomal RNA, 253 nt
Filed under: uncultured bacterium
Lineage: Bacteria
Description: partial 16S ribosomal RNA
Rfam family: Bacterial small subunit ribosomal RNA
Source: RNAcentral
UACGAAGGUGGCAAGCGUUGUUCGGAUUCACUGGGCGUACAGGGUGUGUAGGCGGUUUGGUAAGCCUUUUGUGAAAGCUUCGGGCCUAACCCGGAAAGCGCAGAGGGGACUGCCAGGCUAGAGGACGGGAGAGGAGCGCGGAAUUCCCGGUGUAGCGGUGAAAUGCGUAGAGAUCGGGAGGAAGGCCGGUGGCGAAGGCAGCCCCCUGGGCUAACACUGACGCUCAUGCACGAAAGCGUGGGGAGCAAACAGG